AGCUCCAAUAGCGUAUUGUAAAGUUGUUGCAGUUAAAAAGCUCGUAGUUGGAUUUCGGGCUCGACGGCGACGGUCAGCCGCAAGGUAUGUUACUGUCGACGUUGGCCUUCUUCGCGCAGACUUCGCGUGCUCUUAACUGAGUGUGCGUUGGAUACGCGACGUUUACUUUGAAAAAAUUAGAGUGUUCAAAGCAGGCUUGUGCUUGGAUACAUAAGCAUGGAAUAAUGGAAUAGGACUUUGGUUCUAUUUUCCGUUGGUUUCUGGAACCGAAGUAAUGAUUAAUAGGGACAGUUGGGGGCAUUCGUAUUUCGUUGUCAGAGGUGAAAUUCUUGGAUUUACGAAAGACGAACUAAUGCGAAAGCAUUUGCCAAGAAUGUUUUCAUUAAUCAAGAACGAAAGU
Molecule: ribosomal RNA, 400 nt
Filed under: phytoplankton environmental sample
Lineage: Eukaryota
Description: partial small subunit ribosomal RNA
Rfam family: Eukaryotic small subunit ribosomal RNA
Source: RNAcentral